UGUCGUCGGGGUGGGGCGGGCCUGAGGAAACGCUCCUGGGCCCAGUGGCCCUUCCAGUGCUCCCUGGCCGUCCCCGCCCCUCCUCUACCAACCCAGCGACCGGGCAGGAUGCAGACAUCAGAGCGUGAGGGGAGUGGGCCAGAGGUAAGCCCCAGCGUGAUGCCUGAGGCUCCCCUGGAGUCUCCACCUGCCCCUACCAAGUCCCCGGCGUUUGAUCUUUUCAACUUGGUUCUGUCCUACAAGAGGCUGGAGAUCUACCUGGAACCCCUAAAGGAUGCAGGUGACGGUGUCCGAUACUUGCUCAGGUGGCAGACACCUUUGUGUUCCUUGCUGACCUGCCUGGGCCUCAACAUCUUGUUCCUCACUUUGAAUGAAGGUGCGUGGUACUCGGUGGGUGCCCUGAUGAUUUCAGUGCCCGCCCUCCUGGGCUACCUUCAGGAGGUCUGCCGGGCACGGCUGCCUGAGUCUGAGUUGAUGCGGAGGAAGUAUCACAGCGUGAGGCAGGAGGACCUCCAGAGAGUUCGCCUGUCUCGCCCCGAGGCUGUGGCUGAGGUGAAGAGCUUCCUGAUCCAGCUGGAGGCCUUCCUGAGCCGCCUGUGCCGUACCUGCGAAGCUGCCUACCGCGUGCUGCACUGGGAGAACCCUGCCGCGUCCUCGCAGUUCUAUGGGGCUCUUCUGGGCACAGUUUGCAUGCUGUACCUGCUGCCCCUGUGCUGGGUCCUUGCCCUUUUAAACAGCACGCUCUUUCUGGGGAAUGUGGAGUUCUUCCGAGUGGUAUCUGAGUACAGGGCAUGUCUGCAGCGGCGGAUGAACCCCAAGCAGGAAGACGGUGUCUUUGAGAGCCUCCCGCUGCCAGAUGCUGGGGGAAAGUGCGCCCUGCCGGACUGCACGCCUGCGCCCACACCCACGGAGGACCUCACGCCCGGAAGUGUGGAGGAGGCCGAGGAGGCUGAGCCUGAUGAGGAGUUUAAAGAUGCGAUUGAGGAGACCCACUUGGUGGUGCUGGAGGAUGACGAGGGUGCCCCGUGCCCAGCAGAAGAUGAGCUGGUUCUGCAGGACAACGGGUUCCUGAGCAAGAACGAGGUGCUGCGCAGCAAGGUGUCCCGGCUCACGGAGCGGCUCCGCAAACGCUACCCUACCAACAACUUUGAUCUGGACUUUGCUCCCUUGUGCACCGCUCCUAGCACGGUGUCUGGGCUGGGCUGGUGUCCUGAGUGGGCCUGUUUAGAAGAGCCAGGGGCAGGUGAGAGUUCAGGCCUGGGUUGGGUCAGGGCUGAGCUGCUACCUCUGUUUGUCAGGGAACUGUACGGGCUGCUCGGCCACCUUCUCAGUGCUGAAGAAGAGGCGAAGCUGCAGUAACUGUGGAAACAGCUUCUGCUCCCGGUGCUGCUCCUUCAAGGUGCCUAAAUCCUCCAUGGGGGCCACAGCCCCCGAAGCCCAGAGAGAGACUGUGUUUGUGUGUGCCUCGUGUAACCAGACCUUGAGCAAGUGAGAAGAGGGGCUGGGGUCCAAAGUGGGCGUCGGUCCCUGGGGCCAGCAGCAGGCCUCACCCUCCCUAGCCGCAUGUGGUGUGUGCUGGGCAAAUGUGGCCUGAACGCUAGGUAGGCGUCCCCUUCCUGUCCUCGCUGUCUCCAGCCGGAUUCUGGAGCUGUUCCCCACUCCUGCGGAGGGCUAGUAAGCAGCAGUUCUCGAAACCCAGAGGGAAGAGGAGCCCCUGGAGGGCCUGGCAUAUGUGCCCUCCUCUGCUCUGGACUGAUCAGUGGACUCAGAGCUGGGCAGGGAAUAUAAACUAGAGGGCAGGAGUGAGCUAGGCCUGGUCUCUGUAGGGUCUCUGAGCAUCAGGGCAUCUCUCCACACCUGACAGUUCUAGGAGACCAGAGAUCAGAGACUGGGAAAAGAGAUUCUUCCUCUGCUGGUUGCUGGUCCAAGCCCUUGGCCCCUGAGAGCCUGCAGAAGGGCCUGGACGUGCCGUGACCCCACUCUGCUUUGCGAACGUUCCUUCAGGCAUCAGCAUCUCCUUGUUUCUCCACCAGAGGGUAUGGCCAGGGCUAACCAGACCGAAAGUCCUUCUAGAAACAGGGUUGAAAUUUCCAUGUUCUCCCAGAGGAGGAUGUGUCUAGGAGGGCCUGUCAGAGUUCUUUAGUAUUAAGUGGGAAAAAACAUAGGGAUCCCCAGCAGCUCAAAGGGCCUCAGCCUUACCUUGCAGAAACCUUCACUAGCAGAAUCUCAGGCCACAUAUUACCCUGGUGACAGCUCCAUUGGGUAGAUGCCAGGCAUUCAGAUCACUCUUGUUUCUUUUGCUCGGAGCCUUGGGCAUCCCUCCUCUGGCACAGAGCUGCAUUUCUCUCCCUGGCCCCUUGUCCCAUGGAGUGUGAGAUAGGCAAGCAGAGCAGAGGUCCUGAAGCCCUUGACCCUUGGGGGCCUGGGAAGUGUAGGAUCUCUCUGGGCUGGGUCCUAGACUCUGGCACUGUUCCCCAGCAGGACAGUCUCGCGGGUUAAGGCCACUUGAGGUCCCCAUCCUCUACAACAGUUUUAUGUUCACUCUGGACUUUUAGGCCGUCAGUGUCUCUCCCUAAGCCUUGAGCAGGCUCAGGCACCAUUUCCCUUCCUUGGAGCUGCCCUGCCUUUUUGAAGUAUUUAUUUAUUUAUUGCAUGGUUCCUGGGAGCAGGUGGCACAAGGAAUGGAAUGAAGAAGAGUGGGGUGCUUCUGUUCUAGGAUGCUUCCCCGGAGCCACGGGCUGCCGGGGACCCAGGACCCAUGGGAGGCUGAGCAGAGAUCCAAGGAGACGGGCUGGGGAGACAGAGGCCAUCUGAGGCCAGCUUUCUCGCCAGGCCAACCAGUGUAACUAGGGCCGGCAGUCGGGCCUGCUCCAGGCCAGGGAGGUGCAAGUCCCUGGGGAAGUGGGCAGGCCUUGGUAUACCCCCUUCCUCAGGCUCCUCUGUUAACAGAUGAGAGUGAAGUACCCUGUGCUUCAUUUACACUGGAGAGGAACGGAAAGGAUCUCUGUGUGUAUGGAGAAAUGUCAAUAAAAAGGCCUCAAGCUUCUUA
This is an RNA transcript of Herpailurus yagouaroundi (jaguarundi), 3049 nucleotides long. It is a transcript of the gene named zinc finger FYVE-type containing 27, with no coding region annotated. NCBI's taxonomy places the organism in Eukaryota, Metazoa, Chordata, Mammalia, Carnivora, Felidae. The transcript has 13 exons. The record is from RefSeq and is a predicted model, not a curated record.